Molecule: ribosomal RNA, 253 nt
Filed under: uncultured bacterium
Lineage: Bacteria
Description: partial 16S ribosomal RNA
Rfam family: Bacterial small subunit ribosomal RNA
Source: RNAcentral
UACGGAGGGUGCAACCGUUGCUCGGAAUCAUUGGGCGUAAAGCGCACGUAGGCGGACCGCUAAGUCGGAUGUGAAAGCCCUCGGCUUAACCGAGGAAGUGCAUUCGAAACUGACGGUCUUGAGUAUGGAAGAGGGUCGCGGAAUUCCCGGUGUAGAGGUGAAAUUCGUAGAUAUCGGGAGGAACACCAGUGGCGAAGGCGGCGACCUGGGCCGGAACUGACGCUGAGACGCGAAAGCGUGGGGAGCGAACAGG